Long non-coding RNA from Cyprinus carpio carpio, 1196 nucleotides. Lineage: Eukaryota; Metazoa; Chordata; Actinopteri; Cypriniformes; Cyprinidae. The record is from Ensembl.
GUAAGGUCUGCCCCAAAAGCUUGUCCAAUUGUCUAUGAAACCUAUGUUAUUCUGCAGGCACCACUUAGACAUCCAGCCAUUGAGUGAUGACAAUCUGCUAUGCAUCUCAUCACCACGGUAAGCAGGGAGGGGACCAGAGCAUAUUACAGUGUCUGACAUCAUGCUUGCAAGUUCACACACCUCUUUAAUGUUAUUUUUAGUGAUCUCCGACUGGUGAAGUCGAACAUCAUUAGCACCGGCGUGAAUAACAAUCUUACUGUAUUUACGUUUAGCAUUAGCCAGCACUUUUAAAUUUGCUAAGAUGUCAGGCGCUCUGGCUCCCGGUAAACAUUGGACUAUGGUGGCUGGUGUCUCUAUUUUCACGUUCCGUACAAUAGAAUCGCCAAUAACUAGAGCACUUUCAUCAGGUUUCUCAGUGGGUGCUUCACUGAGUGGGGGGAACCUGUUUAAUGUUUUGAUCAGAACAGAAGAGUGGUGUUUAGACCCACAACUAUGCCGUCUCACAGUCACCCAGUUGCAUGCAAAAGGCCCUGUUACUGGAACCAAACAAUGUACAGGACUCCCUGAGCUAGACGCAUCCAAAGCCUUAUCUAGAGCCCUCACAUUCUUACUGUCGUCAAUUAAAGUUUGGAUGCGUGUCUUGAAUUCUGAAAUCUUCUCUGUCAGCCUAACUAUUUCUCCACAAUUUCUUGAUGCUGGAAUAUCUGAAGAAAGGCAGAGAAUAGCGGCUCGCAAGGUUUGUAAAAUCUGGAAGCUGGAGUCCUUCCUAGAGUUGCAAAAGCUCAUCCACCAGGGGCUCCAGAAAAUAAUUUACAUGAAGGUUUGGCUAAUUUGGGCCAGGUAUUAGUCCAAUGAUAAUCAUGUUUUCCUCCUUGAAACGUUUGCGAGGUAAGUUUAGUACUACCAUGUAUAUAACACCCACAGAGUACUCACUAUAUUUAUAUGGUGGGUACCAGUCAAUGUUCAUCAUAAGAGCCAAAUUGUUGGGUGCUCCAAGAAAAGGUAUACCAUUCUGAUACUGAAACUCCUUCCAAAUCCUUCCAUCAAAAACAUCUCCCAAAACUCGAAAAAAUCUCGAUAAAUCCUUGUCGACAUAUCAAAGACUUGAGGGACUCGAUUAAACUUCGGUAACAGUAUGAACGUAUGGGGUACAGAAACUCAUUCUGAUUAGGACAUACGAUUUUCUUCAUUAGAGU